Long non-coding RNA from Neofelis nebulosa (Clouded leopard), 306 nucleotides. RefSeq lists it as uncharacterized. The transcript has 2 exons. The record is from RefSeq and is a predicted model, not a curated record. Lineage: Eukaryota; Metazoa; Chordata; Mammalia; Carnivora; Felidae.
CAGCCGGUCAGCGUUGUUGGCUCCCUGCUUCCUUGGCGUCCUCAAGCCGGCACCGGGGCCCUGAUGUGCAGCGCUCGGGAAGCAGCGAGGUGGGCGGCUCAGUCGCAGCAGCAGGUACCUUAGGGACGAGAAAAAAUAUGUAAAAGGACGUCUUGCUACAAGAGGAGUUGUGCUCAUUCCAAGACAAUGCAUUUAGAAAUUUUACUCUUACUGUAGCUAUUUGAACCGUUGCAGAGAUUAAUAAAAAAUGUUUCUCUAAAAAGAGAAAAAAAAUCAAACUUUACGGGAAGCUGAAGUUUAGAUCUA